UACGGGAGGCAGCAGUGGGGAAUAUUGCACAAUGGGCGAAAGCCUGAUGCAGCUAUGCCGCGUGUAUGAAGAAGGCCUUAGGGUUGUAAAGUACUUUCAUCGGGGAGGAAAAAACAAAACUAAUAAUUUUAUUUCUUGACGUUACCCGAAAAAGAAGCACCGGCUAACUCCGUGCCAGCAGCCGCGGUAAUACGGAGGGUGCUAGCGUUAAUCAGAAUUACUGGGCGUAAAGAGCACGUAGGUGGUUUUUUUAAGUCAGAUGUGAAAUCCCUGGGCUUAACCUAGGAACUGCAUUUUGAAACUGAAAUACUAGAGUAUCGUAGAGGGAGGUAGAAUUCUAGGUGUAGCGGUGAAAUGCGUAGAUAUCUGGAGGAAUACCUGUGGCGAAAGCGGCCUCCUAAACGAAUACUGACACUGAGGUGCGAAAGGCGUGGGGAGCGAAACAGGGAUUAGAUACCCGU
This 461-nucleotide ribosomal RNA is filed under the name uncultured bacterium. RNAcentral describes it as "bacterial SSU rRNA". It matches the Rfam family "Bacterial small subunit ribosomal RNA", at positions 340 to 789 of the family's 1533-position model. The record is from RNAcentral.